CACUUCUUCAAGAAAUGGCACUUAGGCUGUCUUAGAGGUCAUCUCUGGUCACCCUGUUAGAUAUUGUGGUUUUGGUAACUACUGCCUCAGGAAAAAUAUUUUGCAUUUUACGUUGCUAAUUGCAUCUCUUCAUACAAAUGCCACGUGUUAUUGGUGUUUAACUUGGUACUCUAGCCAACGCAUGUUUGUAAAUUCAAUUUACAGGUUAUAGCAUUCCCC
RNAcentral lists this unclassified non-coding RNA (219 nucleotides) under Hevea brasiliensis (rubber tree). The record is from RNAcentral. Lineage: Eukaryota; Viridiplantae; Streptophyta; Magnoliopsida; Malpighiales; Euphorbiaceae.